Long non-coding RNA from Serinus canaria (Common canary), 2971 nucleotides. RefSeq lists it as uncharacterized. Lineage: Eukaryota; Metazoa; Chordata; Aves; Passeriformes; Fringillidae. The transcript is spliced from 3 exons. The record is from RefSeq and is a predicted model, not a curated record.
UUUAGUUUAGGCACUAUUCUUUUUUUCAGCUCGCAAAGGAAGCCGUUUUGUCCAGGUUAGGUAUUGUCUACUUAUGGAUCAGCCUCUGGCUAAGGGUUUAUUUUAAUUUAUGGCUUAUGCAUUCUUUUAAGGUCGAUUUGCAUGACCUCCGGCAAAGAGCUAAGGCAGCAAGAAAUCCCAGGUCGACUGUUGCCACAAAGCGGCACGCAUCUCCCCUUCCCCGGGUGUAAACAGAGCUCUCUGAUGAUGGACUGCCUUCUUCCCCCCUCCCUGUGUAUCACGAAUUAGGGCGCGAUAUCGAUUUUAAAGUUUUCGGUAUAACUUUAUCCAGGGCUCUGCCGGCAGAGAUAAGGCGGCGGCGGCGGAUCCUCGGGACAGCGCCGCGCCGUGGCCGAGCGCGGCACGGCCGCCGCCGCUCCCGCAGCUUUGUGUGCUCCCCGCAGCCGUCCCCGGCCAACUUCAAAGCACUCACCCACCUCAAACUUCGCGCAGAACCCACAAGCACCACUAAACUCCCCUCGCCUUUCUCCAUCCCGCGUCUCUCGGGGUUAUCCGCCAGGAGAAACCCACGCGAGCACUUCGGAGCAAUGACAGCAGCGCUCCGCUCUCAAAGAUUUAUUUCGGAUUUUAUUUUUCCUCUCUUUCUCCCUCUCGUGUUAGUUCCUUACGUACAAUAUCUUCCCGCACCAUGUGUUCGCCUGCCGUGGGUGAUCUUAAAAUACAACGCUGAUCUGUCACUACAUUUUAAAAUAAACUCUACUCGGGAAGGAUGAGAAAGUGUUGUGAUUUCAAGGUACUGGGGUCCCUUAACGUCUCGGAAACCUCGGGAUUCAAACAGCCCCGGAAACUCGCACGGGGACGAGACUAUAACUACUUUUCCCUAAAGAGAAGGGAGGGAGGAAAAAAAAAAAAAAAAAAGGAAGAAAAAAGAAACACAACACCCUCGUGAUAUCAAAGUAAAUAAUCGUGCAGGGGGAGGCGGGGGAAGGGGUGAAUUCAGCAAUGUUAAAAGCUAAACAACAGAUCUAUCUCCGGACGCUGCUGCUUCACUCAAUUGCAACUAAUAACCCAUUAAAGACAGCGCAGGGGGAACUGAAUUCUCUCCUGCAAAGCGACAUAAAUCCAGCGAAAACCCAUUAAACCACCGCCACCGCCACCAAGCCACGCAGCACUACACACCACAGCAAACAACAGUGAAGGCGAUGGUUACUGCUGUCAAUCUUGGCAAUCAAUGUGAGCGGCCAUGUCGUAAGUAUUCAAAGCAUUUCCCGUCGUGCAACAUCAGAAAGUGAGUGGCCAGGGCAUUGAUCUGAGGAAGGCAAAAGGAGGCAGGGCUCCCCCGCCCAGACAGCACAGGCAAGAUGAGACAACACAGGGAGAGAGAGGAGGGAGAGGGGAAGGGAGGGAGAGACAGAGAGAGAGGGAGAGAGAGAGAGAGAGGCUGGGAGCGAGCGGGGAGAGCAACAACUGCGGAGAAAGUGAGCACAAAACAGAAAGUGAAAUCGGCGCGGGCUGCCAGCCGCAUCCCCGCGCAGCUAUCACCACUCACAGGGCCAUUAGACACAUGAAACCCUACACCGCUCCGCUCCCGCUAAUGACCACUGAUUGCCCGGAGUGGUGAGGAAAGUUACAGAUGGAACUCACAGCGCCUGAGAGCGGCAACUUCUCGGCGGCAGGAAAAGAGGAUUCCUUGGGCAUUGUAUGCAAAUGUGAGUGUGUGUGUGUGUGCACGCUGCACGGGGAUAAUUGGGAUGCCCUCUUUGUUUGCAUAAGUGAACACCCGGCGUGCGGAUCCGUAUACACGUGCCGAGAAACAAGAAAACGCUUUCCCUUGGAGCGUUACCCCACUUUUAGAAACCGCGUUUGGAAUGACUGCUCUUGCUUUGGCUUCCUGAAGGCUAAAGGCAGGCAGAUGUUGAGGAGGGAUGCUGACCUGCUGGGGGUGCCUGCCCAGGGAAGGGACCGCAGGCGCUCACAUCAGGUCGGGGCACUUACCUGCGCACAGCUGUCAUGGCAUUUUGCGCCGUGUGCCUCACCAAAUGCCUUAAAGUAAAGCAGUGUUCAACAAGCGAGGCAACCUGUCUGUGUGCUAAGUUGUACGUACCGCAUCUUUAACCUGAGCAGCAAACCUGCAACUCCUGCAGAGUUGGCGGAACAGUCUCAGAAGUUUUGGAUUCAAAGGGCAAGAAAUUUCACUUUAAAAGUCAUUCACCCACUUCUUAACUGCCCUCUCACCCCAGUUAAUGCCGGACAAUUAAGAAGCAUGUUUAUAAAUUCCCUCUGCGGACACUGUCCGACAAUGAAGGCUUGUUAGAGGCUUGGUAAAGAUGUUCAGAGAAACUUUUGCGAAAUAAUCAACAGCAUCUGAGAGAAAGCUAAAGGAAAAGAAGUUAAAGCCUGAUAAUCCGAUUGGGAAAAAGUUUUGUUAGACUAGAUAGAAGUAAAUUACUGCACGUUUCUUCAAAAGCAAACCCAUCAGCUGAUACGAGUUCCCCUAGAACAAGAACCUCUGGCGAACUCCUCCAAAUUUAGGGGACGUUUGCAUUUUGUAACACUCAAAGCUAAAGAUCCGUCUGAAAACAAAACCUCUGAAUUCCUUACAGCGUCAUCUGCCAACAAAAUGUAUUGUCUUGGCAGAAAAAGGAUCAAGGAGAAUUUAAUUUCAUUUUUAACUGUGCAUCAUCUUGAUAGCGAAGGAAAAAGCCGCAGCAACAAUCUCCCCGCUCCACGCCCCCGCCGUUCAGAAAAAAAAAAAAAAAAAAAAAAAAAAAAAAAAGGAAGGGGGGGAAGAGAGAACUGGAAAAACCACAUAAACUUUUACAAAGAAAAUAAAAGCAAGUUCGACAUGAAAACCCCUUCCUGUCUCGGAAAGUUCAUUUUAAAGGUCCCUUCUGUAAAUCUAAAGUGCAAACACCAGGCUAAGGUAGUGAGUGGCUGGAAUUUGCAUGCUGAUAAGAGAAGGCUGUUGUAC